UGGGUAACGUGCCCCAAUGAUCGGGACAACCCGGGGAAACCCGGGCUAAUACCGAAUGUGCUCCCCUCACAUCAGUGAGAGGUGAAAAGGAAGCUUCGGCCUCCGCAUUGGGACCGGCCCGCGGCCCAUUAGCUUGUUGGUGAGGUAAAGACUCGCCAAGGCUGCGAUGGGUAGCUGGUCUGAGAGGACGAUCAGCCACACUGGGACUGAGACACGGCCCAGACUCCUACGGGAGGCAG
This 239-nucleotide ribosomal RNA is filed under the name uncultured bacterium. RNAcentral's name for it is "partial 16S ribosomal RNA". It matches the Rfam family "Bacterial small subunit ribosomal RNA", at positions 118 to 351 of the family's 1533-position model. The record is from RNAcentral.